This is a non-coding RNA of Heterocephalus glaber (naked mole-rat), 833 nucleotides long. The record is from RefSeq and is a predicted model, not a curated record. NCBI's taxonomy places the organism in Eukaryota, Metazoa, Chordata, Mammalia, Rodentia, Bathyergidae.
GGAAGCCGUGGACCACAGCUUUAUUCCCUCACGAUCAGCCGCUUCCGGCCCGGGCCCCGCAAGUAAAUGGCGCCCUCCGGCGGGCGCUGCCUCGACCUGGCGUGGAACGUUCCGCCCCGGACGCGAGCGGGAGGGGAGACGCGCAUUUGACGGCGUCGCGCAGGAUCGCUUAAAAGCGACAGUGGACCCACAGACCCCAGGCCGCACUCACGGUGCACGGUGAGCUGCAGGGCGACCUGUCCUUGCAGGUACGGCAGGUGCACCGUGGCCAGGUUUCCCUGGAGGUUCAGACUGGCCUCAAACUCGCAUCAAUCCUGCUUUGGCCUCCCAAAUGCUGGGAUUACAGGCCUGCGCCUCCUCACCUGGCCCAUUUAAUACCUCUUGGAUAACGUGACACCUGUAUGCGAAAGGUACUUGGAAUGGUGCGCGGAACACAGUCUACAGUAGUGUUGGCCAAACGUGAGCCUGUCUGUCGGGCAGACUUAUCCAGGCAGAUUAACCCCCUCAGCAGUGUCUGCCAGCGCCCUCUCUGUGGUCCAAGGCCACUGUCCCUGCCUUUGAUGAGUGGUCAUCAGCCCCCCAACACACACCAGUGGAAAAUACCAGGGGUCUCUCAGACUCCUUCCUCUCAUUCAACAGGUACUUCCUGAGCACCUAGGCCUUUCAAGGUACAGUGGUACAGGACAGACAGGCAGUCCCAAACUGGGCGAGGUGCCGCACACAAGUAAUCCCAGCACUCAGAGGCUGAGGCAGGAGGAUCUCUAUGAAUUCAAGGCCCCCCUCAGCUACAUAGUGAGUUCAAGGCCAUUUGAGCUGCAUAGAGAAACCCUGCC